CCCAAUGUGAACGUUACCAAACUGUUGCCUCGGCGGGAUCUCUGCCCCGGGUGCGUCGCAGCCCCGGACCAAGGCGCCCGCCGGAGGACCAACCAAAACUCUUUUUGUAUACCCCCUCGCGGGUUUUUUAUAAUCUGAGCCUUCUCGGCGCCUCUCGUAGGCGUUUCGAAAAUGAAUCAAAACUUUCAACAACGGAUCUCUUGGUUCUGGCAUCGAUGAAGAACGCAGCGAAAUGCGAUAAGUAAUGUGAAUUGCAGAAUUCAGUGAAUCAUCGAAUCUUUGAACGCACAUUGCGCCCGCCAGUAUUCUGGCGGGCAUGCCUGUCCGAGCGUCAUUUCAACCCUCGAACCCCUCCGGGGGGUCGGCGUUGGGGAUCGGCCCUCCCUUAGCGGGUGGCCGUCUCCGAAAUACAGUGGCGGUCUCGCCGCAGCCUCUCCUGCGCAGUAGUUUGCACACUCGCAUCGGGAGCGCGGCGCGUCCACAGCCGUUAAACACCCAACUUCUGAAAUGUUGACCUCGGAUCAGGUAGGAAUACCCGCUGAACUUAAGCAUAUCA
RNAcentral lists this ribosomal RNA (556 nucleotides) under Trichoderma harzianum. Its description in RNAcentral is "eukaryotic LSU rRNA". The stretch from base 181 to 334 matches the Rfam family "5.8S ribosomal RNA". Lineage: Eukaryota; Fungi; Ascomycota; Sordariomycetes; Hypocreales; Hypocreaceae. The record is from RNAcentral.